ACGAACGCUGGCGGCAGGCCUAACACAUGCAAGUCGAACGCCCUAGCAAUAGGGAGUGGCAGACGGGUGAGUAACGCGUGGGAACCUUCCCUAUAGUACGGAAUAUACCAGGGAAACUUGGAGCAAUACCGUAUACGCCCGAAAGGGGAAAGAUUUAUCGCUAUAGGAUGGGCCCGCGUAGGAUUAGCUAGUUGGUGAGGUAAUGGCUCACCAAGGCGACGAUCCUUAGCUGGUCUGAGAGGAUGAUCAGCCACACUGGGACUGAGACACGGCCCAGACUCCUACGGGAGGCAGCAGUGGGGAAUAUUGGGCAAUGGGCGCAAGCCUGACCCAGCCAUGCCGCGUGAGUGACGACGGCCUUAGGGUUGUAAAGCUCUUUUGGCGGGGACGAUAAUGACGGUACCCGCAGAAUAAGCCCCGGCUAACUUCGU
This 431-nucleotide ribosomal RNA is filed under the name uncultured bacterium. RNAcentral's name for it is "bacterial SSU rRNA". It matches the Rfam family "Bacterial small subunit ribosomal RNA", at positions 29 to 506 of the family's 1533-position model. The record is from RNAcentral.